ACGCGGGUUCGAUUCCCGCCGCCUCCACCA
Molecule: non-coding RNA, 30 nt
Filed under: Gallus gallus (chicken)
Lineage: Eukaryota; Metazoa; Chordata; Aves; Galliformes; Phasianidae
Source: RNAcentral